CCCUUAGAUGUUCUGGGCCGCACGCGCGCUACACUGACGAUGGCAACGAGUCUUUCCUUCGCCGAAAGGUGUGGGUAAUCUUUUGAAACAUCGUCGUGCUGGGGAUAGAUCAUUGCAAUUUUUGAUCUUGAACGAGGAAUUCCUAGUAAGCGCGAGUCAUCAGCUCGCGUUGAUUACGUCCCUGCCCUUUGUACACACCGCCCGACGCUACUACCGAUUGAAUGGUUUAGUGAGGACUCCUGAUUGGCGCCGCCGCCCCGGCAACGGAGCAGCGGACUGCCGAAAAGUUGUUCAAACUUGAUCAUUUAGAGGAAGUAAAAGUCGUAACA
This 329-nucleotide ribosomal RNA is filed under the name uncultured eukaryote. RNAcentral describes it as "partial 18S ribosomal RNA". It matches the Rfam family "Eukaryotic small subunit ribosomal RNA", at positions 1470 to 1796 of the family's 1831-position model. The record is from RNAcentral.